GCCGCGAGGCGACGGCGUUCUCGCCGGAUGUAGGAACCGACCCGGGGACCGCCGGGGCAACCCGGCGCCCCCGAGACGGGGCGAACCACGGUGAAAAUGACGGAUCGUCGGCCCCGCGCCGGCGACUCGCCGAAUGAGUUUCUGACCUAUCAACUCGAGACGGCGGGGUAGAGGCCCGCCGCGGUAACGACGGGUAACGGGGAAUCAGGGUUCGAUUCCGGAGAGGGAGCCCCGAGAAACGGCUACCACUUCCAAGGAAGGCAGCAGGCGCGCAACUUACCCUAAUCUCGAUUCGAGGAGGUAGUGACAAGAAAUACCGAUGCGGGACCCUACGGGUGCCGCGUUCGGAAUGAGUACGAUUCGAACCACCUAACGAGGAACGAUCGGAGGGCAAGUCUGGUGCCAGCAGCCGCGGUAAUUCCAGCUCCAAUAGCGUAC
This 438-nucleotide ribosomal RNA is filed under the name uncultured eukaryote. RNAcentral's name for it is "bacterial SSU rRNA". It matches the Rfam family "Eukaryotic small subunit ribosomal RNA", at positions 174 to 601 of the family's 1831-position model. The record is from RNAcentral.